This 1462-nucleotide long non-coding RNA is filed under the name Anser cygnoides (Swan goose). RNAcentral's name for it is "lncRNA (ENSACDG00005008263.1)". Lineage: Eukaryota; Metazoa; Chordata; Aves; Anseriformes; Anatidae. The record is from RNAcentral.
GAUUCAUCAAUUGAAACCCCUGUGGAUGAUGGAAAUCUAACACUUCUUGCAGUGAAGAUACACCAGAAAGAUAAGCCUGAGCAGCGGAGACGUCAGCGCCGAUGGUAGCUGAACUACAGCUGUAAGACUGCCAAAAAACCUCUGAACUGUGCGGAUCGUUGUGAGUAAUAUUUCUGAUCCUUCUAAAGGGUGUAUGUGGCUGAUUACUGCAGGCAGGGAAAUAUUGCAGACUCCCAUUGCCAGCAAUAAAUUAGAGGGAGACCAGAGGUGAGAGACAGGCAGUGAAACUAUUGACUGGCCUUAAAAUAAUGCUUUCCUCCUAGACUUCCGUAAGCAAGUAUGCAUUUCUCUGAAGCUGGGUCAUCAAGUCUAUUCCAAAUAUGCUAAUAAAAAAGUGUGGUAUUGAAUUCAAUUACAGGACUGUCAGGACAACGUAGAUUUGGCCAGACAAGUGAGAUCAAAGGGCCAUCUAGCCCCAUAUACUGGCUCAGAGUGGCCUACAGUUUAUAUUCAAGGAAAAAAAUAAAAGACUAAGGAUAAAAUGGACUCUAUAUACAAGCUGAAGAUUUUUGUGAUGUUUUUAUCUCAAGCUACUUUCACAGUCAUGGUGAUACUGAAUGCUGGAAACGCCACUGGACUAUUCAAAGGUCUGUUCCGGACAACCCCUGGAAACAUCUCGGAUAAGUACAACACUGACUUCACACCAGCUGGCUGGACUUUCCUCAUCUGGAAUGUCAUCUAUGCCUGGCAGCUUGCCUGGCUCCUGUACGCCUUGUCAGGGAUCUGUCGAAGGAAUGAACUUGGAUGUGUAUACAUAAAGCCAGACUUGUUGCCAACACCUUUUUACGUGGCAUGGAUUCUAAAUAAUGGACUCAAUGUUGGAUGGCUAUUUCUGUGGGACCGAGAAUACCUCCUCCCAGCCCUGGUGCUCCUGGUAGCCCUCACUCUUGCCACGUGUGCUGCUCUCUUCAUCUCACACAGAGCCUUGAGUAUCCAUUCCUCGUGGUUUGUGAAGGGUCACAAAGCUGAACUCUGGCUCAUCCGGAUCCUAGUUCAGAAUGGGCUGGCGCUGUAUGCCACGUGGACCACCAUUGCCUCUCUGCUGAAUUUUGCUGUUGUGUUGAUCUACAAGUGGGAUGUGUCCAACGAGAUAGCAACAACUACCUCUUUGAGCAUCCUUACUCUCCUCCUAGUAAUAUGGUUUUAUCAAGAAAACUUCUUUCUUGACAAGUACGUCCGUUAUAACCUCACUAUCUACCCAGUGGUCAUAGUGGCUCUGACUGGAAGCGCGUGCAAGAACUUCUCACUUUCAUCCCCAACCACCAACGGCAUUUUUAUAGUUAUACUGUUGGCAGUGACUUGUCUUAUCUUUGCUGUUCGCCUGGGAUUAGUCAUAUGGAGGCACUGUAAGAGACCACUAGAAGCACCAAGAAGCCCACAUCCAUCAGGCACAGUGGCCUGA